Molecule: ribosomal RNA, 474 nt
Filed under: uncultured soil bacterium
Lineage: Bacteria
Description: bacterial SSU rRNA
Rfam family: Bacterial small subunit ribosomal RNA
Source: RNAcentral
AGGACGAACGCUGGCGGCGUGCUUAACACCUGCAAGUCGAGCGACUGUGUUCUUCGGAACAUAUGGAGCGGCGAACGGGUGAGUAACACGUGGGCAACCUGCCCCUAGCUCUGGGAUAACUCCGGGAAACCGGGGCUAAUACCGGAUACGAUCUUCCAUGGCAUCUCGGAAGGUGGAAAGUUUUUUCGGCUAGGGAUGGGCCCGCGGCCUAUCAGCUUGUUGGUGAGGUAACGGCCCACCAAGGCGACGACGGGUAGCCGGCCUGAGAGGGCGACCGGCCAACGACUGGGACUGAGACACGGCCCAGACUCCGUACGGGAGGCAGCAGUGGGAAUAUGCGCAAUGGGCGAAAGCCUGACGCAGCGACGCCGCGUGAGGGAUGGAAGGCCUUCGGUUGUAAACCUCGUUUCAGCAGGGACCGAAGCGAGAGUCGACGGUACCUGACGAAGAAGAAGCCGACCGGCGAACUACCGU